This 806-nucleotide ribosomal RNA is filed under the name uncultured fungus. RNAcentral describes it as "eukaryotic LSU rRNA". It matches the Rfam family "Eukaryotic large subunit ribosomal RNA", at positions 30 to 821 of the family's 3401-position model. The record is from RNAcentral. Lineage: Eukaryota; Fungi.
GAACUUAAGCAUAUCAAUAAGCGGAGGAAAAGAAACUAACAAGGAUUCCCCUAGUAACUGCGAGUGAAGCGGGAAAAGCUCAAAUUUAAAAUCUGGCGUGCCUCUGGUCGUCCGAGUUGUAGUUUAGAGAAGCGUUUUCUGUGUUGGACCGUGUAUAAGUCUCUUGGAACAGGGCGUCAUAGAGGGUGAGAAUCCCGUCUUUGACACGGACUACCAAUGCUUUGUGAUACGCUCUCAAAGAGUCGAGUUGUUUGGGAAUGCAGCUCAAAAUGGGUGGUAAAUUCCAUCUAAAGCUAAAUAUAGGCGAGAGACCGAUAGCGAACAAGUACCGUGAGGGAAAGAUGAAAAGCACUUUGGAAAGAGAGUUAAACAGUACGUGAAAUUGCUGAAAGGGAAACGCUUGAAGUCAGUCACGUCUGCCAGGACUCAGCCUUGCUUCUGCUUGGUGUAUUUUCUGGUUGGAUGGGCCAACAUCGAUUUCGACCGUUGGAGAAAGGCUUUGGGAAUGUGGCACCUUCGGGUGUGUUAUAGCCCUUUGUCGUAUACAAUGGUUGGGAUCGAGGACUGCAGCAUGCCUUCAUGGCCGGGGUUCGCCCACGUACAUGCUUAGGAUGUUGGCAUAAUGGCUUUAAGCGACCCGUCUUGAAACACGGACCAAGGAGUCUAACAUGCCUGCGAGUGUUUGGGUGGAAAACCCAUGCGCGUAAUGAAAGUGAUAGCUGAGAUCCUCUCAUCAGGAGCAUCAGCGCCUGGACUUGAUCUACGGAGACGGUUCUACGGUAGAGCAUGUAUGUUGGGACCCGAAA